ACAAAUGUGCCCUCGGCAGCCAUGGGUGGGCCAACACUGGUCUGGAAAUCAUUCAAACAAGUUUUCUCGAGCACAGCCUGUGGGUGAGACAUGCACAAGCCAGCGAGGACCUGCAGGGCACAAGACAAGCCCAGCUCACUGCAGUGAGGGGGACACACACACAAGUGGCCCCCAACAGGUGUGGGCGGCCUAAACCCCGAACCUCAGAACAUCAGUGUAUGUGGAGCCAGGUCUUCAGAGAGACGAUCGUCCUCAAGUGUGGUCACAGGGAUGGACCUGAAUUCAGUACAGCUGUGGCCUUCUAAGAAGAGGGACAUUUGGCAAACGUACACAGAGCUGUCACUUCGGGAACACAUGGGAGGAGACUGCGUCCAUGUGCAGGGAGAGGUCUCAGAAGGAACCAGCCCUGAGUGCACUUUGACUUCGGACUCCUCUUCUCCAGGAGUGUGGGAAAAUACCUCUCCACUGGGGAAGCCGCCAGCCUGUGGGCCUUGCAGAGGAAUGCAGCCGGGAAGCAUCAGAAUAUUGUCUCGGUGAUUUUUACAAUACUGAAGCCAGGCUCGGUGCCCACACCUGUAAUCCCAGCAGCUGGGGAGGCUGAAGCAGGAGGAUCGCAAGUUUGAGGACAGCCUGGACAAUAGCCCUGCCUUGAAAUAAAAGUAGAAAGGGGCUGGGUAUUCGGCUCAGGAUAGAGCAUCCCGGCACAUGCAGGGGCAGAGGCGUCCCUCCUGGGGACACACGGCUGCCACCGACCUGCUUCCUUGUCACUCAUUUAUUCUUUUUUCUUGCACAAACCACACGUGUGACGAGUCCUGGCACACUGCCCUGUGCCUGGCCUUUGUGCAGUGACAGAGCAUCCGGUAGAUGCUGCAGGACAGACUAAGAAAGCAGCUUUAGAAAGUCAGGGCAACAGCCAGUGGUGGGCAGGCGAGUCACCAGCAGGGCGUUGGAGGAAAGCUUGGAAAAGUAUUUUAGGCUGCUGUGUUAGGAGGGGCAGGAGGAGGGGCCGGGCUCCUGGAGGUGACCCUGGGCUCCUUGCCCCACCACCGAAGUAGGUCACUGUGAGCACAGGGAGGCGCCGCGCUGUGUGGGAGGCACGGAUCUGGCGGGGCUGCGAUGCCAUCUGUGACUGCAGACUCCCAGGUUGCUGGUGGGGAGGAGCGGCUUGUCUAAGCGCCUGGCCUUACAGAUGGUGAAGCUGAGCCCAGAGGCAGAGGGACUGUUCCUGAGGUCACUAGCCAGGUGGGGACGGAGCAGGGGACCUGAGCCUGCGGGUCCCACCUUUGGCUGCAGCCCUUUUAAGGGUGCCAGGUUGCCUGAAAAGUUGUAUCUGGAUGCCCAGAUUUUACUCUGCCUUUUCUUCCUGCCUUGUGUAUCUAUCGCCCCUCUGCAAUUGAAAAUAAGAGCAUAGACACUGGGCUGUGGUACUGGCUUUGCUCUCCACCCCUUAGGGCUUUGACAGGGCAGCUGUGACCACAGGGCAGUACAGUCCACCUUGUAGAGGAUGGAUUGGUGGUGGUCUUGAGUUGUGCAGUGCACGGCCAUGCAAACUGUACCUAGCAGUCCUGGCUGUGAAGGGCUAAGUGACAUCAUGCCAUCAUGCCUGUCAAUCCAUUAGCAUAUGAAGAGAUCAUCAAAUGUUGGCCAUUAUUAUCUGCAUUUUUUGAUUUGUUUUGAGACAGGGUCUUGCUGUGUAGUCCACACUGGACUUGAGCUCAUUAUGUAGCCCAAGCUGUCCUCAAACUUGUAGUGAUCCUCUUGCCUCAGCUUUCCAAGUGUUGAGAUUACAGGUGUGCACUACCAUGCCUGGCUAUUAUUAUCUUUAUUUUUUUUUUGUUAUCAUGAAGAACCGGCUGUCUUAUCUUUUUUUUUUUUUGGUACCGGGGAUCGAACCCGGGUCCUUGCACUUGCACAGCAGGCAGCGAAACCACUGAGCUAAAUCCCCGGCCCAGCUGUCUUAUCUUUGAAGCAGCAAGGAAUGGAAGAGCUGAGUAGGAAAGUCAUCUUUUCAUCGUUUUCUUCUGUUAUUAAAGGUAACCAGAGCACUCAGUACAGAAAACCUGGAAAACGCAUAAGGAGACACAAAAUGACAAAAAAUAACAAGCCCACAUCCAGAACCACCCUUUUGACAUAUGGUGUAUGUUUUUCCAGGCUUUCAUUCCCUGUUUGUCUCUUUCACACAUUAGGAAAUUUUGCUUUCCUGUGGGAAGUCUGGCCUCCGCCCUCAGCUUUGAGGAGAGGACCCAGCACAGUGACCAAGAACAUGAAUUCUAUGUCUCCAUCACCUAGUUUCACAUGCCAGCUCUCACCUGCCUGCUGUGUGACCUUGGGCAAGACAGGUAAGCUCCCUGGGCUUCAGUGUUGUCUCUUGUAAAGUGUGCCUAAUGCGGAAGCAUUGUGAGCGUGACCUAAGUUAAUGCUUGCAAUGUUCCCAGAGAAGUACUUGGUUCCAAGUGUAUUGGUCGGGAGGAGAGGUUUAAUGGGCUCAGGGGAUGCAGUCCAUGGUCGGUUGCCCCAAGGCAGGAACAUCAUGGCGGAAGGGCAUGGUGGAGCAAAGCUACUCAGUUCCUGGCAGCUGGCAAGCAGAUCAGGGAGCAGAGCCUGAAAGGGAGGGUAGAGAGACCAGCUGAAGUCCCCAAGGCUGUGCCUCCAGGACCCACCCUGACACUCCCAGUAUGCUUUACUAAUCCCUUGGUGGUCCCCAAGUGAAUCCAGUUGACAGUUAAGCUUAACUAUCAAAGGGUUUGGCACAUCCUUGUCACAAGAGCAGCCCAUUUGGGGGACAGCACCUUUGGCUAUGCUGGUCCCUUACUGUUGGCCCUGCAGUUGGUUCCUAGUUUUUCCCCAUCCUAAAUAAUGUGGCUACAAUGUUUCUCAGUGUCUUUGAGUAUGUCUUUGGUUAUUUUAUGAAAAUAAAUUCCCAGAAAUGGUAUUUCUGGUUUAUAAAUAAUGCAUGUGGCAGAUCAUCCAAGUGUGUACUAAAGAAUGUGCCGGCAAAAUUGGCAGGGACAAGAAAGAGACAGGAGUCCCUGAGACCUUGGGAGGAGAACAGGGGAACAUGGGCACAGCCUAGGACUAGGAAAUGUGCUUUAGUUAUGGUUGUGGGGCUGCCCAUUUGAUGUCCUGGGGAUGUGGUCCUUGCCCUUUGGAGCUUUGGCCUUGUUGCCCAAAUUCUGGUCCUUGGAGAAUCCACCACCUUUUGUUUGUGUCUCAGAACCAGCUAUGGCAUAAGGUGAGGUAAGGUAAGACUUUGAAAUAUAUUUGCUUUU
Molecule: long non-coding RNA, 3269 nt
Filed under: Heterocephalus glaber (naked mole-rat)
Lineage: Eukaryota; Metazoa; Chordata; Mammalia; Rodentia; Bathyergidae
Description: lncRNA (ENSHGLG00000041016.1)
Source: RNAcentral